AAGGAUUCCCUCAGUACGGGCGACGGAAGCGGGAAAAGCCCACAUUGGUAAUCUCCGGGCCCUGGCUCGGCGAAUUGUAAUCUGAAGACGGUUAGUCCACCUGGACCGGGCGCCGAAGUGCCGCACGAGAGCGCCGCCAUAGAGGGUGAGAGCCCCGUAUGGUGCCAGGUCCUACCAGGGCUGGUUGUCGAAGAGUCGUGUACUUUGAUACUAGUGCACUAAGCGGGAGAUAAACUUCUUCUAAGGCUAAAUAUAAGUAGGAAACCGAUAGCGAACAAGUACUGUGAAGGAAAGAUGAAAAGCACUUUGGAAAGAAAGUUAAAAGACUUGAAAUCGUUGAGGCGGACCCGGUAGAAAUGUAUUCUAGCGAAACUCUCUGGGAAGCCUGUACGCGGGCCACUUGAGGGUUAGCCGAGACAAGAUGGGGUCGUGCGAUGCCAAAGGCCGUGCGCUAGGGAGCUUGCUCCAGAGUGUGCUGGUUGGGUGUCGCGCGGCUCGAGGGGCUUUGAGCGAUCUUGUCAAAAUGGUUUUUACCGACUCGUCUUGAAACACGAACCAAGGAGUCUAAGACUAACGCGAGUAUGGUGGUGAGAAACCAACAUGCGAAAUGAAAGUAAACGAUGCCAAGCUCCCUGCAGCAUCGACCGACUUUUUUCUUCUGGAAGAGGUUUGAGUAAGAGCGUUAUUCUUAGGACCCGAAAGAUGGUGAAACUAU
Molecule: ribosomal RNA, 715 nt
Filed under: Helicostomella subulata
Lineage: Eukaryota; Ciliophora; Spirotrichea; Tintinnida; Metacylididae
Description: LSU rRNA
Rfam family: Eukaryotic large subunit ribosomal RNA
Source: RNAcentral